Molecule: unclassified non-coding RNA, 221 nt
Filed under: uncultured Marasmius
Lineage: Eukaryota; Fungi; Basidiomycota; Agaricomycetes; Agaricales; Tricholomataceae
Description: sequence contains ITS1
Source: RNAcentral
UUGAAAAAUUGUAAAGGAGGGUUGAGCUGGUCCUUUCGGGGACAUGUGCACGCUCUUCUUUCAAUCUUCAUCCACCUGUGCACUUUUUGUAGAGAGUUUGAGAAACAUGGGCCUUUUAACUAGGGUUCCUAAGUACUGAGCUCUCUAUGUCUUUAUAAACUCUGAAUGUAUGUCUUUGAAUGUCUUUACAAGGGACUUAACUGGACCUUUUAAAAACUAUA